Long non-coding RNA from Pseudoliparis swirei, 1168 nucleotides. RefSeq lists it as uncharacterized. NCBI's taxonomy places the organism in Eukaryota, Metazoa, Chordata, Actinopteri, Perciformes, Liparidae. The record is from RefSeq and is a predicted model, not a curated record. The transcript is spliced from 6 exons.
AACGGUAGUUUCGCGGUACUGCUGUCUCGCGCGCUAACAUUAUUAACGGUAGUUUCGCGGUACUGCUGUGUCGAGGGCUAACGUUACUAACGGUAGUUUCGCGGUACAGCUGUGUCGAGGGCUAACGUUACUAACGGUAGUUUCGCGGUACAGCUGUGUCGAGGGCUAACGGUAGUUUCGCGGUACUGCUGUGUCGAGGGCUAACGUUACUAACGGUAGUUUCGCGGUACUGCUGUGUCGAGGGCUAACGGUAGUUUCGCGGUACUGCUGUGUCGAGGGCUAACUGUAGUUUCGCGGUACUGCUGUGUCGAGGGUUAACGUUAAUUUCGCGGAACUGCUGUCUCGCUGUCUUGCAUUUCACCGGCGUAUGGUUUAAUUGGCUGACUUUUAUCGCAGGCAUAUGCUAAACUGCGACAGGGACUAAAGAGGAAAAAGCGAGUGCCUAAUUGAUACCAAAACGUUUCUGCAAGAUAUCACCAUGCUGCUGAAGGUGAGAUACCAGAGUACCAAGAAGUACAUCCGAUUACAGCUAGGUUUCACCUAUUUGGAAUUCAUCACUGCAGUCAAAAACAAAUUUGGACUCCAUGAUGCAGCUGAACUUCACAUAUUUGAUGAAACUGACACUGCAGUGGAGGAAGACAUUCUUCUUGAACUGAUAAGAGUCCAAUCCAGACCUUUGCCUGAUCGUGCGUGACAGCAUUUCAGAUAAAGAUCAUUCAACACCAUCUUCUCUCACGGAUACAUGACGCUUUCUUCAAGUGACAAUGACCUCUCCGGUCAAAGACAAAGGGGGAUUUUGAGCUCUGAGGUCAUGGACAGGUCUACAAAAAAGGUUUCGGAUUCAGAGGCUGCAAAAGAGUAGAUGGUAGAAAAUGCCUUGCUCACCAAACCUGGAGGUGAAGAUGUCCUUGAAGAGUACAAAUCAGGAAAUUCGCUGAAGCACCGCACCCGUAGACAGCUUGUCAACAUAUUGGCUAGCCAUAUGACUGAAAUGGAUGGCUGAAUCAAGACUUCACGCUGCUGUUUGGUGCUGAGACGGCUUCCAAGAUGCUCGAGAAGUGGGAUACAGCAUUCAAGCCCACGGUCAUCAAAGAGGCCAAACACCUGACUCCGUCAACUGAGCUGUGCCAACUUCUGACAGCUGCAGAGAACCUUCCAGAAGAUGAUC